Molecule: transfer RNA, 69 nt
Filed under: Bos taurus (domestic cattle)
Lineage: Eukaryota; Metazoa; Chordata; Mammalia; Artiodactyla; Bovidae
Also listed under: 2 other names
Rfam family: tRNA (bases 6-62)
About the family: Transfer RNA (tRNA) molecules are approximately 80 nucleotides in length. Their secondary structure includes four short double-helical elements and three loops (D, anti-codon, and T loops). Further hydrogen bonds mediate the characteristic L-shaped molecular structure. tRNAs have two regions of fundamental functional importance: the anti-codon, which is responsible for specific mRNA codon recognition, and the 3' end, to which the tRNAs corresponding amino acid is attached (by aminoacyl-tRNA synthetases). tRNAs cope with the degeneracy of the genetic code in two manners: having more than one tRNA (with a specific anti-codon) for a particular amino acid; and 'wobble' base-pairing, i.e. permitting non-standard base-pairing at the 3rd anti-codon position.
Source: Rfam by way of RNAcentral
CCUGGUGGCUUAGAUGAUAAAGCACCUGCCCGCAAUGCAGGAGACCCAGAUUCGAUUCCUGGGUCAGGA